Molecule: ribosomal RNA, 402 nt
Filed under: bacterium
Lineage: Bacteria
Description: partial 16S ribosomal RNA
Rfam family: Bacterial small subunit ribosomal RNA
Source: RNAcentral
UGGGGAAUUUUGCACAAUGGGGGAAACCCUGAUGCAGCGACGCCGCGUGAUUUAGAAGGCCUUCGGGUUGUAAAACUCUUUUUUACGGGAUGAAAAUGACAGUACCGUAAGAAUAAGGUCCGGCUAAAUACGUGCCAGCAGCCGCGGAAAUACGUAUGGACCGAGCGUUGUCCGGAAUCAUUGGGCGUAAAGGGUACGUAGGCGGCCUAGUAAGUUAGAAGUGAAAUAAUAUAGCUCAACUAUAUAAAGCUUUUAAAACUGCUAGGCUUGAGAGAUGGAAGGGAAAGUGGAAUUCCUAGUGUAGCGGUGAAAUGCGCAGAUAUUAGGAAGAAUACCGGUGGAGAAGGCGACUUUCUGGUCAUCAUCUGACGCUGAGGUACGAAAGCGUGGGUAGCAAACAGG